Molecule: ribosomal RNA, 328 nt
Filed under: uncultured eukaryote
Lineage: Eukaryota
Description: partial 18S ribosomal RNA
Rfam family: Eukaryotic small subunit ribosomal RNA
Source: RNAcentral
CCCUUAGAUGUUCUGGGCCGCACGCGCGCUACACUGACUACUUCAACGAGUUGUUUCCUUGAUCGAAAGGUCUGGGUAAUCUUUGAAAGGUAGUCGUGAUGGGGAUAGAUCCUUGCAAUUUUUGAUCUUCAACGAGGAAUUCCUAGUAAACGCAAGUCAUCAGCUUGCAUUGAUUACGUCCCUGCCCUUUGUACACACCGUCCGUCGCACCUACCGAUUGAAUGGUCCGGUGAAUCUUUAGGACUGUGGCUGAGGCCUUGCCUUGUGCGGGUCUGGCCGUGGGAAUUUAGUUAAACCUUACUAUUUAGAGGAAGGUGAAGUCGUAACA